CAACGCGAAGAACCUUACCUGGUCUUGACAUCCACGGAAGUUUUCAGAGAUGAGAAUGUGCCUUCGGGAACCGUGAGACAGGUGCUGCAUGGCUGUCGUCAGCUCGUGUUGUGAAAUGUUGGGUUAAGUCCCGCAACGAGCGCAACCCUUAUCCUUUGUUGCCAGCGGUCCGGCCGGGAACUCAAAGGAGACUGCCAGUGAUAAACUGGAGGAAGGUGGGGAUGACGUCAAGUCAUCAUGGCCCUUACGACCAGGGCUACACACGUGCUACAAUGGCGCAUACAAAGAGAAGCGACCUCGCGAGAGCAAGCGGACCUCAUAAAGUGCGUCGUAGUCCGGAUUGGAGUCUGCAACUCGACUCCAUGAAGUCGGAAUCGCUAGUAAUCGUGGAUCAGAAUGCCACGGUGAAUACGUUCCCGGGCCUUGUACACACCGCCCG
RNAcentral lists this ribosomal RNA (439 nucleotides) under uncultured bacterium. RNAcentral's name for it is "bacterial SSU rRNA". It matches the Rfam family "Bacterial small subunit ribosomal RNA", at positions 957 to 1396 of the family's 1533-position model. RNAcentral also lists the same sequence under 1 other name. The record is from RNAcentral.